UACGUAGGGUGCGAGCGUUGUCCGGAAUUACUGGGCGUAAAGAGCUCGUAGGCGGUUUGUCGCGUCUGCUGUGAAAACUGGAGGCUCAACCUCCAGCCUGCAGUGGGUACGGGCAAACUAGAGUGCGGUAGGGGAGAUUGGAAUUCCUGGUGUAGCGGUGGAAUGCGCAGAUAUCAGAGGAACACCGAUGGCGAAGGCAGAUCUCUGGGCCGUAACUGACGCUGAGGCACGAAAGCGUGGGUAGCAAACAGG
RNAcentral lists this ribosomal RNA (252 nucleotides) under uncultured bacterium. RNAcentral describes it as "partial 16S ribosomal RNA". It matches the Rfam family "Bacterial small subunit ribosomal RNA", at positions 524 to 776 of the family's 1533-position model. The record is from RNAcentral.